RNAcentral lists this ribosomal RNA (1414 nucleotides) under uncultured bacterium. RNAcentral's name for it is "bacterial SSU rRNA". It matches the Rfam family "Bacterial small subunit ribosomal RNA", at positions 8 to 1379 of the family's 1533-position model. The record is from RNAcentral.
AGAGUUUGAUCCUGGCUCAGGAUGAACGCCGGCGGUGUGCCUAAUACAUGCAAGUCGUACGCACUGGCCAAACUGAUUGAUGGUGCUUGCACCUGAUUGACGUUGGAUCACCAGUGAGUGGCGGACGGGUGAGUAACACGUAGGUAACCUGCCCCGGAGCGGGGGAUAACAUUUGGAAACAGAUGCUAAUACCGCAUAACAACAAAAGCCACAUGGCUUUUGUUUGAAAGAUGGCUUUGGCUAUCACUCUGGGAUGGACCUGCGGUGCAUUAGCUAGUUGGUAAGGUAACGGCUUACCAAGGCGAUGAUGCCUAGCCGAGUUGAGAGACUGAUCGGCCACAAUGGAACUGAGACACGGUCCAUACUCCUACGGGAGGCAGCAGUAGGGAAUCUUCCACAAUGGGCGCAAGCCUGAUGGAGCAACACCGCGUGAGUGAAGAAGGGUUUCGGCUCGUAAAGCUCUGUUGUUGGAGAAGAACGUGCGUGAGAGUAACUGUUCACGCAGUGACGGUAUCCAACCAGAAAGUCACGGCUAACUACGUGCCAGCAGCCGCGGUAAUACGUAGGUGGCAAGCGUUAUCCGGAUUUAUUGGGCGUAAGGCGAGCGCAGGCGGUUGCUUAGGUCUGAUGUGAAAGCCUUCGGCUUAACCGAAGAAGUGCAUCGGAAACCGGGCGACUUGAGUGCAGAAGAGGACAGUGGAACUCCAUGUGUAGCGGUGGAAUGCGUAGAUAUAUGGAAGAACACCAGUGGCGAAGGCGGCUGUCUGGUCUGCAACUGACGCUGAGGCUCGAAAGCAUGGGUAGCGAACAGGAUUAGAUACCCUGGUAGUCCAUGCCGUAAACGAUGAGUGCUAGGUGUUGGAGGGUUUCCGCCCUUCAGUGCCGGAGCUAACGCAUUAAGCACUCCGCCUGGGGAGUACGACCGCAAGGUUGAAACUCAAAGGAAUUGACGGGGGCCCGCACAAGCGGUGGAGCAUGUGGUUUAAUUCGAAGCUACGCGAAGAACCUUACCAGGUCUUGACAUCUUGCGCUAACCUUAGAGAUAAGGCGUUCCCUUCGGGGACGCAAUGACAGGUGGUGCAUGGUCGUCGUCAGCUCGUGUCGUGAGAUGUUGGGUUAAGUCCCGCAACGAGCGCAACCCUUGUUACUAGUUGCCAGCAUUAAGUUGGGCACUCUAGUGAGACUGCCGGUGACAAACCGGAGGAAGGUGGGGACGACGUCAGAUCAUCAUGCCCCUUAUGACCUGGGCUACACACGUGCUACAAUGGACGGUACAACGAGUCGCAAGCUCGCGAGAGUAAGCUAAUCUCUUAAAGCCGUUCUCAGUUCGGACUGUAGGCUGCAACUCGCCUACACGAAGUCGGAAUCGCUAGUAAUCGCGGAUCAGCAUGCCGCGGUCAAUACGUUCCCGGGC